This 797-nucleotide ribosomal RNA is filed under the name Bacillus sp. BHB8. RNAcentral describes it as "bacterial SSU rRNA". It matches the Rfam family "Bacterial small subunit ribosomal RNA", at positions 64 to 843 of the family's 1533-position model. The record is from RNAcentral. Lineage: Bacteria; Bacillati; Bacillota; Bacilli; Caryophanales; Bacillaceae.
GAGCGGAUCUUCCUUAGCUUGCUUUUGAAGAUCAGCGGCAGACGGGUGAGUAACACGUGGGCAACCUGCCUGUAAGACUGGGAUAACUUCGGGAAACCGGAGCUAAUACCGGAUAAUCCUUUCCCUCUCAUGAGGGAAAGCUGAAAGACGGUUUCGGCUGUCACUUACAGAUGGGCCCGCGGCGCAUUAGCUAGUUGGUGAGGUAACGGCUCACCAAGGCAACGAUGCGUAGCCGACCUGAGAGGGUGAUCGGCCACACUGGGACUGAGACACGGCCCAGACUCCUACGGGAGGCAGCAGUAGGGAAUCUUCCGCAAUGGACGAAAGUCUGACGGAGCAACGCCGCGUGAACGAUGAAGGCCUUCGGGUCGUAAAGUUCUGUUGUCAGGGAAGAACAAGUAUCGGAGUAACUGCCGGUACCUUGACGGUACCUGACCAGAAAGCCACGGCUAACUACGUGCCAGCAGCCGCGGUAAUACGUAGGUGGCAAGCGUUGUCCGGAAUUAUUGGGCGUAAAGCGCGCGCAGGCGGUUCCUUAAGUCUGAUGUGAAAGCCCCCGGCUCAACCGGGGAGGGUCAUUGGAAACUGGGGAACUUGAGUGCAGAAGAGGAGAGCGGAAUUCCACGUGUAGCGGUGAAAUGCGUAGAGAUGUGGAGGAACACCAGUGGCGAAGGCGGCUCUCUGGUCUGUAACUGACGCUGAGGCGCGAAAGCGUGGGGAGCGAACAGGAUUAGAUACCCUGGUAGUCCACGCCGUAAACGAUGAGUGCUAAGUGUUAGAGGGUUUCCGCCCUUUAG